AGGCUUGCUCUGAUCUUGAUAAAGGUUUGUAUAACACAUGCUUGCUCUGAUCUUGAUAAAGGUUUGUAUAACACAUGCUUGCUCUGAUCUUGAUAAAGGUUUGUAUAACACAUGCUUGCUCUGAUCUUGAUAAAGGUUUGUAUAACACAGGCUUGCACUGAUCUUGAUAAAGGUUUGUAUAAUACAGGCUUGCACUGAUCUUGAUAAAGGUUUGUAUAACACAGGCUUGUACUGAUCUUGAUAAAGGUUUGUAUAACACAGGCUUGCACUGAUCUUGAUAAAGGUUUGUAUAACACAGGCUUGCUCUGAUCUUGAUAAAGGUUUGUAUAACACAGGCUUGCUCUGAUCUUGAUAAAGGUUUUUAUCACACAGGCUUGCUCUGAUCUUGAUAAAGGUUUGUAUAACACAGGCUUGCUCUGAUCUUGAUAAAGGUUUGUAUAACACAGGCUUGCUCUGAUCUUGAUAAAGGUUUUUAUAACACAGGCUUGCUCUGAUCUUGUUUAAGACAAAAUCAACUAAAAGAUUUCUUGCAAAAAGAAAAGGAAAUUACAUCCUAUACCAAUUGUUUCCAUGUUUGGCUGUGGAACAAUGUGCUGCUAAGUCCUGGACCUUUUCAUUUAGUCCUUUUCCUUUCUUCCAUGACACCAGCUGAGAUUUCAGAUCCCAAAGUAUUGGGCCCUGU
Chiloscyllium plagiosum (whitespotted bambooshark) is the source of this 682-nucleotide non-coding RNA. NCBI's taxonomy places the organism in Eukaryota, Metazoa, Chordata, Chondrichthyes, Orectolobiformes, Hemiscylliidae. The record is from RefSeq and is a predicted model, not a curated record.